Molecule: ribosomal RNA, 253 nt
Filed under: uncultured prokaryote
Description: partial 16S ribosomal RNA
Rfam family: Bacterial small subunit ribosomal RNA
Source: RNAcentral
ACGUAGGGACCAAGCGUUGUUCGGAUUUACUGGGCGUAAAGGGCGCGUAGGCGGCGUGGUAAGUCACUUGUGAAAUCUCUGAGCUUAACUCAGAACGGCCAAGUGAUACUGCUGUGCUAGAGUGCAGAAGGGGCAAUCGGAAUUCUUGGUGUAGCGGUGAAAUGCGUAGAGAUCGGGAGGAACAUCUGUGGCGAAGGCGACUGCCUGGACCAGCACUGACACUGAGGCACGAAAGCGUGGGGAGCAAACAGGA